UACGUAGGGUGCAAGCGUUAUCCGGAAUUAUUGGGCGUAAAGAGCUCGUAGGCGGUUUGUCGCGUCUGCUGUGAAAACCCGAGGCUCAACCUCGGGCCUGCAGUGGGUACGGGCAGACUAGAGUGCGGUAGGGGAGAUUGGAAUUCCUGGUGUAGCGGUGGAAUGCGCAGAUAUCUGGAGGAACACCGGUGGCGAAGGCGGCAUCCUGGACCGACACUGACACUGAGGAGCGAAAGCCAAGGGAGCAAACGGG
Molecule: ribosomal RNA, 253 nt
Filed under: uncultured bacterium
Lineage: Bacteria
Description: partial 16S ribosomal RNA
Rfam family: Bacterial small subunit ribosomal RNA
Source: RNAcentral